GAUGAACGCUGGCGGCAUGCCUUAUACAUGCAAGUCGUGCGAGAAGUUACCUUCGGGUAGUGGAAAGCGGCGGACGGGUGAGUAACGCGUAGAAACAUACCCCAGAGUGAGGAAUAAGCAUCGGAAACGGUGUUUAAUACCGCAUAACGUCUACGGACAAAAGAUUUAUCGCUUUGGGAAUGGUCUGCGUCUGAUUCGCUAGUUGGUGAAGUAAAAGCUCACCAAGGCGAUGUUCAGUAGCUGGUUUGAGAGGAUGAUCAGCCACACUGGGACUGAGACACGGCCCAGACUCCUACGGGAGGCAGCAGUAGGGAAUUUUCCACAAUGGGCGAAAGCCUGAUGGAGCAAUGCCGCGUGCAGGAUGAAGGACCUCGGUUCGUAAACUGCUUUUAUAACUGAAGAUUAUGACGGUAAGUUAUGAAUAAGGAUCGGCUAACUACGUGCCAGCAGCCGCGGUAA
RNAcentral lists this ribosomal RNA (459 nucleotides) under uncultured bacterium. Its description in RNAcentral is "partial 16S ribosomal RNA". It matches the Rfam family "Bacterial small subunit ribosomal RNA", at positions 28 to 523 of the family's 1533-position model. The record is from RNAcentral.